Molecule: ribosomal RNA, 440 nt
Filed under: uncultured bacterium
Lineage: Bacteria
Description: partial 16S ribosomal RNA
Rfam family: Bacterial small subunit ribosomal RNA
Source: RNAcentral
CCUACGGGGCGCAGCAGUGGGGGAUAUUGCACAAUGGGGGAAACCCUGAUGCAGCGACGCCGCGUGAGUGAAGAAGUAUUUCGGUAUGUAAAGCUCUAUCAGCAGGGAAGAAAAUGACAGUACCUGACCAAGAAGCCCCGGCUAACUACGUGCCAGCAGCCGCGGUAAUACGUAGGGGGCAAGCGUUAUCCGGAUUUACUGGGUGUAAAGGGAGCGUAGACGGUUAUGUAAGUCUGGAGUGAAAGCCCGGGGCCCAACCCCGGGACUGCUUUGGAAACUGUGUAACUGGAGUGCAGGAGGGGCAGGCGGAAUUCCUGGUGUAGCGGUGAAAUGCGUAGAUAUCAGGAGGAACACCGGAGGCGAAGGCGGCCUGCUGGACUGAAACUGACGUUGAGGCUCGAAAGCGUGGGGAGCAAACAGGAUUAGAUACCCCAGUAGUC